AUUGAACGCUGGCGGCAUGCUUUACACAUGCAAGUCGAACGGCAGCGAGGAGAAGCUUGCUUCUCUGUCGGCGAGUGGCGCACGGGUGAGUAUAGCAUCGGAACGUGCCAAGUAGUGGGGGAUAACCAAACGAAAGUUUGGCUAAUACCGCGUAAGCUCUAAGGAGGAAAGUAGGGGACCUAAAUAAGGCCUUACGCUAUUUGAUCGGCCGAUGUCGGAUUAGCUAGUUGGUGGGGUAAUGGCUCACCAAGGCAAUGAUCCGUAGCGGGUCUGAGAGGACGAUCAGCCACACUGGGACUGAGACACGGCCCAGACUCCUACGGGAGGCAGCAGUGGGGAAUUUUGGACAAUGGGGGAAACCCUGAUCCAGCCAUGCCGCGUGUAUGAAGAAGGCCUUAGGGUUGUAAAGUACUUUUGUUAGGGAAGAAAAGCUAGUUUUUAAUAAAAAUUAGUGAUGACGGUACCUAAAGAAUAAGCACCGGCUAACUACGUG
RNAcentral lists this ribosomal RNA (493 nucleotides) under uncultured bacterium. RNAcentral's name for it is "partial 16S ribosomal RNA". It matches the Rfam family "Bacterial small subunit ribosomal RNA", at positions 30 to 507 of the family's 1533-position model. The record is from RNAcentral.